UUGACCUCGGAUCAGGUAGGAUUACCCGCUGAACUUAAGCAUAUCAAUAAGCGGAGGAAAAGAAACCAACAGGGAUUGCCCCAGUAACGGCGAGUGAAGCGGCAACAGCUCAGAUUUGGAAUCUGGCCUUCGGGCCCGAGUUGUAAUCUGGAGAGGAUGCUUCUGGCGCGGUGCCUUCCGAGUUCCCUGGAACGGGACGCCGGAGAGGGUGAGAGCCCCGUACGGUUGGACACCUAGCCUCUGUGAAGCUCCUUCGACGAGUCGAGUAGUUUGGGAAUGCUGCUCAAAAUGGGAGGUAAAUUUCUUCUAAAGCUAAAUAUUGGCCAGAGACCGAUAGCGCACAAGUAGAGUGAUCGAAAGAUGAAAAGCACUUUGAAAAGAGAGUUAAAAAGUACGUGAAAUUGUUGAAAGGGAAGCGCCCGUGGCCAGACUUGCGCCGCGCGGACCACCCAGCGUUCUCGCUGGUGCACUCCGCGCGGCGCAGGCCAGCAUCGGUUUUCCUAGGGGGAUAAAGGUCGCGGGAACGUAGCUCCUCCGGGAGUGUUAUAGCCCGUGGCGUCAUGCCCCUGGGGGGACCGAGGACCGCGCUUCGGCAAGGAUGCUGGC
This 606-nucleotide ribosomal RNA is filed under the name Grosmannia curvispora. Its description in RNAcentral is "partial 28S ribosomal RNA". It matches the Rfam family "Eukaryotic large subunit ribosomal RNA", at positions 1 to 630 of the family's 3401-position model. Lineage: Eukaryota; Fungi; Ascomycota; Sordariomycetes; Ophiostomatales; Ophiostomataceae. The record is from RNAcentral.